This 1124-nucleotide ribosomal RNA is filed under the name uncultured Emericella. RNAcentral's name for it is "eukaryotic LSU rRNA". The stretch from base 491 to 1124 matches the Rfam family "Eukaryotic large subunit ribosomal RNA", at positions 1 to 649 of the family's 3401-position model. The record is from RNAcentral. Lineage: Eukaryota; Fungi; Ascomycota; Eurotiomycetes; Eurotiales; Aspergillaceae.
AAGGAUCAUUACCGAGUGCGGGCUGCCUCCGGGCGCCCAACCUCCCACCCGUGACUACCUAACACUGUUGCUUCGGCGGGGAGCCCCCCAGGGGCGAGCCGCCGGGGACCACUGAACUUCAUGCCUGAGAGUGAUGCAGUCUGAGCCUGAAUACAAAUCAGUCAAAACUUUCAACAAUGGAUCUCUUGGUUCCGGCAUCGAUGAAGAACGCAGCGAACUGCGAUAAGUAAUGUGAAUUGCAGAAUUCAGUGAAUCAUCGAGUCUUUGAACGCACAUUGCGCCCCCUGGCAUUCCGGGGGGCAUGCCUGUCCGAGCGUCAUUGCUGCCCUCAAGCCCGGCUUGUGUGUUGGGUCGUCGUCCCCCCCGGGGGACGGGCCCGAAAGGCAGCGGCGGCACCGUGUCCGGUCCUCGAGCGUAUGGGGCUUUGUCACCCGCUCGAUUAGGGCCGGCCGGGCGCCAGCCGGCGUCUCCAACCUUAUUUUUCUCAGGUUGACCUCGGAUCAGGUAGGGAUACCCGCUGAACUUAAGCAUAUCAAUAAGCGGAGGAAAAGAAACCAACCGGGAUUGCCUCAGUAACGGCGAGUGAAGCGGCAAGAGCUCAAGUUUGAAAGCUGGCCCCUUCGGGGUCCGCGUUGUAAUUUGCAGAGGAUGCUUCGGGUGCGGCCCCUGUCUAAGUGCCCUGGAACGGGCCGUCAGAGAGGGUGAGAAUCCCGUCUUGGGCAGGGUGCCCGUGCCCGUGUGAAGCUCCUUCGACGAGUCGAGUUGUUUGGGAAUGCAGCUCUAAAUGGGUGGUAAAUUUCAUCUAAAGCUAAAUACCGGCCGGAGACCGAUAGCGCACAAGUAGGGUGAUCGAAAGAUGAAAAGCACUUUGAAAAGAGAGUUAAACAGCACGUGAAAUUGUUGAAAGGGAAGCGCUUGCGACCAGACUCGGCCCCGGGGUUCAGCCAGCACUCGUGCUGGUGUACUUCCCCGGGGGCGGGCCAGCGUCGGUUUGGGCGGCCGGUCAAAGGCCCCAGGAAUGUAUCGCCCUCCGGGGUUGUCUUAUAGCCUGGGGUGCAAUGCGGCCAGCCCGGACCGAGGAACGCGCUUCGGCACGGACGCUGGCGUAAUGGUCGCAAACGACC